CCUACGGGAGGCUGCAGUGAGGAAUAUUGGUCAAUGGACGAGAGUCUGAACCAGCCAAGUAGCGUGAAGGAUGACUGCCCUAUGGGUUGUAAACUUCUUUUAUAUGGGAAUAAAAUGUUCCACGUGUGGGAUUUUGUAUGUACCAUAUGAAUAAGGAUCGGCUAACUCUGGGCCAGCAGCCGCGGUAAUACGGAGGAUCUGAGCGUUAUCCGGAUUUAUUGGGUUUAAAGGGAGCGUAGGUGGAUUGUUAAGUCAGUUGUGAAAGUUUGCGGCUCAACCGUAAAAUUGCAGUUGAAACUGGCAGUCUUGAGUGCAGGAGAGGUAGGCGGAAUUCGUGGUGUAGCGGUGAAAUGCUUAGAUAUCACGAAGAACUCCGAUUGCGAAGGCAGUUCACUGGACUGCAACUGACACUGAGGCUCGAAAGUGUGGGUAUCAAACAGGAUUAGAUACCCCGGUAGUC
This 460-nucleotide ribosomal RNA is filed under the name uncultured bacterium. Its description in RNAcentral is "partial 16S ribosomal RNA". It matches the Rfam family "Bacterial small subunit ribosomal RNA", at positions 338 to 795 of the family's 1533-position model. The record is from RNAcentral.